AGUGAACGCUGGCGGUAGGCCUAACACAUGCAAGUCGAACGGCAGCACAGUAAGAGCUUGCUCGUACGGGUGGCGAGUGGCGGACGGGUGAGGAAUACAUCGGAAGCUACUUUUUCGUGGGGGAUGACGGAGGGAAACUUACGCUAAUACCGCAUACGACGUACGGGUGAAAGCAUGGGAUCUUCGGACCUUGCGCGAUUGAAUGAGCCGAUGUCGGAUUAGCUAGUUGGCGGGGUAAAGGCCCACCAAGGCGACGAUCCGUAGCUGGUCUGAGAGGAUGAUCAGCCACACUGGAACUGAGACACGGUCCAGACUCCUACGGGAGGCAGCAGUGGGGAAUAUUGGACAAUGGGCGCAAGCCUGAUCCAGCCAUGCCGCGUGAGUGAAGAAGGCCUUCGGGUUGUAAAGCCCUUUUGUUGGGAAAGAAAAGCAGCAGGUUAAUACCCCGCUGUUCUGACGGUACCCACAGAAUAAGCACCGGCUAACUUCGUG
Molecule: ribosomal RNA, 492 nt
Filed under: uncultured bacterium
Lineage: Bacteria
Description: partial 16S ribosomal RNA
Rfam family: Bacterial small subunit ribosomal RNA
Source: RNAcentral